UAGGGAAUCUUCGGCAAUGGGCGAAAGCCUGAACCUGCGACGCCGCGUGAGUGAUGAAGGUCGUAAGAUCGUAAAACUCUUUUCAGGGAUCUUAAAGCCUGUCUGUCAACAACAGGCAGGUCUGACUCUCCCUGGAAGAAGCCCCAGCCAACUACGUGCCAGCAGCUGCGGUAAUACGUAGGGGGCGAGCGUUAUUCGGAAUUACUGGGUGUAAAGGGUAUGUAGGCGGCCCUUCAAGUCGCGUGUCAAAGUCCAGUGCUCAACGCUGGGUGUGCACGCGAUACUGACGGGCUUGAGGGCUGGAGAGGUGAGCGGAAUUCCCGGUGUAGUGGUAAAAUACGUAGAGAUCGGGAGGAACACCGGCGGCGCAGGCGGCUCACUAGACAGUUUCUGACGCUAAGAUACGAAAGCGUGGGGAGCAAACA
Molecule: ribosomal RNA, 425 nt
Filed under: uncultured prokaryote
Description: bacterial SSU rRNA
Rfam family: Bacterial small subunit ribosomal RNA
Source: RNAcentral